This 214-nucleotide unclassified non-coding RNA is filed under the name uncultured Agaricomycetes. RNAcentral describes it as "sequence contains ITS2". Lineage: Eukaryota; Fungi; Basidiomycota; Agaricomycetes. The record is from RNAcentral.
AACUCUCAAACCGCAUCUUUAUUGAUCGGGUUUGGAUUUGGACGUUGCUGGACUUGUCAGUUCGGCUCGUCUCGAAUGCAUUAGCUGUAGAUUUCGAUUUCAGUUAAACCGUGUGAUAAUACAUCAACGCGGGCAGCCGUCAAGGCGCUGGAUCGUUACUCGAAGGCUUAUAAUCGUCCUUUACGGGACCGCCUUUACUGGUGUUUCAUUUCAC